GAAGACGUUCCUACAAGAAGUUAUUAAGAUGGACACUACAAGGAAAUCAGUUGUCCCACUAGCAUUGUUAUUGACUUUCUUCAUCAUUGCAUCAGAUAUGUGCUUGAAAUUAGAAGCAAGGGGACCCAUUGUACAUCUCCAUUGUUCUUCAGACGAAUCAUGCCAAUUACGUCCUUGUGCUGCUGCAUGUGGUUGCAAAUGUAUCGAUACCUUUUGUCAAUGCACAAGACCUUAUUUUAAUGAUAAUACUCAUCAUACUCAUGCACCCCCAAAUUGAGUAACCAAGUUAUGAGAUGCAAUCACCCAAUGUGAGUGAGAGCAAUGAAGGAUUUCAUCUUCUUGUGUAUGAAUUUUACCUUAAAAAUAUGUUAAAUAAAAUUUAUGGCCUUAUCAAUUUUGUUAA
Cajanus cajan (pigeon pea) is the source of this 403-nucleotide long non-coding RNA. RefSeq lists it as uncharacterized. The record is from RefSeq and is a predicted model, not a curated record. Lineage: Eukaryota; Viridiplantae; Streptophyta; Magnoliopsida; Fabales; Fabaceae.